CCAGCUCGUUCCCGUGAGAUGUCCUUUUAAAGUCAGNUAACGACGCGAGAUCCCUGCCAUUAGUUGCUAUCAUUAUUCUCAGGAAUAGUGGGGCGAAUUAGUGGGNCUGCCCGUUGUUAAAACGGAGGAAGGAAGGGGCUACGGCAGGUCAGUAUGCCCCGAAACUCUGGGGCCACACGCGGGCUGCAAUGGUAGUGACAAUGAGUUCCAAACUCGAAAGAGAGUGGCAAUCNCUAAACGCUACCACAGUUAUGNNUGAGGGCUGUAANUCGCCCUCANGAAUAUGGAAUCCCUAGUAACCGCGNGUCANAAACGCGCGGUGAAUAAGUCCCUGCUCCUUGCACNCUCCCCCCGUCG
RNAcentral lists this ribosomal RNA (357 nucleotides) under uncultured archaeon. Its description in RNAcentral is "partial 16S ribosomal RNA". It matches the Rfam family "Archaeal small subunit ribosomal RNA", at positions 1004 to 1355 of the family's 1478-position model. The record is from RNAcentral.